ACACGAUUCAAAAAAUACACGCCAAGUAUAAACACAGCGAAGGGAACAAUAAAAACACCCAAAAAUCCAACAGCGAUGUGAUUCAUACGCGCAUACGUCACCUCCGGCAGACACAACUUCAAUUGCACGCAGAUUUUGAUCACGAAAAUGGUGCUGGUGAUGUAACAUCCGUGUUUGAUCUCGAUACAGCCGCAACACGGCCGGAACACGCAAUUUCCCGGCGCCAUGUUGAAAAUUUCUCGUGUUUAAAAUGUUAUUUUAUUUGAUAAUGUCCAUUUGGUUGUGGGGAUCGAUAUAUCUAUUCGCGUUUUAUGAUCAGAAUCGCGGGGAAGCGGAAUAAUAACCAAGAAAACUGUCAAAAAAAAAUCACGAUGAAGAUGAGUCAAUGCCCCAAGUUCACUGCAACCCCAAGGACCUCCACGUUGAAUGGUAUCCCAGUGUUGGUCCAUGCUAAGAUAACUGUACGGAUCGUUGGCAUCCGAAGAACUGUUACCUCCGCUGGUGUUACCAGGAUAUGUCUCUAGACAAUGCCGCAAUUGUUUCUCCAAUUUACCCAGAGACUCCGUACAUAACCCCCACUAUGCAAUAAAAUUCAAUAUUUUACAUUUUUAUUAACAUAACCUCAAAAUUA
This is a long non-coding RNA of Dalotia coriaria, 631 nucleotides long. RefSeq lists it as uncharacterized. NCBI's taxonomy places the organism in Eukaryota, Metazoa, Arthropoda, Insecta, Coleoptera, Staphylinidae. The transcript has 2 exons. The record is from RefSeq and is a predicted model, not a curated record.